UCAUGUAACAUCUUGUAUAAUAUACAUUUAAAAAAUACAUUAUACACACUGUUAAUUGCUACUGAUACAACACAAGUGUCUAACGACAUCAUUAUAUAUACAUGUCCAAAAAGAAAAAUAUAACUAUGAAAAAUGAUAUACAAGAGCUCCUAAUCAAAACUAUGAUCUAUUUACAAUAUCCAUAGACGCGCAUAGGCCAUAGCAGAAGAUCAUGAUGACAAAAACCUUCGAAACAUCAAAAAACAAGCUUAUUCUUGCCUUUAACCUACAAGUUACCACCUAAAAAUAAUAAAAAUGGGGUGAGAUGAUAAUCUCAAUGAGUUCCCCUAUCUUAGGUGUUCACCCGGCUCUAAAGAGAUUUUAUCGAAUUGUAUCUUAAGCCAUUCAACUCUGCCAUACUUGUGCACGUUUACACAAUAGAACAAGGACUUAAGCAUCUAAGGAAAUUUAUGCUUCGUAUGAAAAACACACAACAUAGUUCACAUAACUCAAUGAAUCACUAUUUGGGAAUGCAUAACAAAUUAUCUUUCCCCGAUCUAUGUAGGACUAUGGACACGGGUCAGGAUCUCUGCUUUCUCGGAUAAUUUGUCCUCGGCCGAUCCAAAUCCAAGGACUAUGGACAUGGGUCACGAUUUUCGGCACAACAAUGAUAGUCUCCUCGACUGAUCUGAAUCCACAGAUUUUGGUCACGGAUCACAAACUUUCCCAUAUCAUGGAAUAUUUUUUUUCCCAGCCAUCCGAAUCCAUAACUUUCAUUGAACAAAUAAUCAUUCGUCUUCCCGAUUACUAACUUAUAUGAGUGUCAAACUCUGGAUACACACAAAUAAGGGUUAUUCCUAAAUACACGAUUGAUUCAUUAAUCACCACAUGAUCAUUUUAAUCAAACAUCAUGUAAUCAUUUCACAAUCACCAUGGAUUAAUGUCAUAAAUACCAUGUGAUUCUAUCAUAAUCACAAUACUACAACGUGUUCCUAUACAAGCUAGACGAAUCACAAGUUAUGAUAUCGUGCAUCAUCCAUGCCUUUGGCAUUCUCGUAGAUUUGAUGACUAACCUCUAACGAUUACUCAUUCACGGAUGCACACUGAUGCACCUCUUAUAUCCGAGUAUCGCAAUCUAAGUUAUUUACCAUAACCUAAGUUCUUUUUACUAAUUUCACUCACCUAGCUAUAACUCUAGGUUUAUUCUCACUCUUCAUUAUGGAACUUUAUUUAUUCAUUAUUCAUUCAAUACAUACACAUCAUAACAUUAUACAUGAAUGACAUAAAAUAGAUCAUUAACAAUAGGACUUUUGAACCACUACAAGAAAUUUGACACGUGCCAACGACAAAAAUCAGUUGGUAAAGGUCAAAAAACCGUUGGUAAAUGUUAAAAAAACAUAUACCAACGAACGUUUGCUUCUGUCAACUAUAAUUUCCUAUACCAACGGAAAUUUUCCGUCCCAAUAUCUUAUACCAACGACAAUUUUCAGGUGUUGGACAAAACUUUAGAGUUAUAGCAAUGGCUAAUUAUUCUGUUAAAUAACUUUAUUCACCACUUAUUUCCGUAGCAAUGACUAAUUAUACUAUUUAAAAACCUUAUCCACCACUUAUUUCCGUUGGUAUAGGACAAAACUAGUUGUUGGUAUGUGUCUUUUUUUUACAAAUAUUUCUUUUUUAUAAUUAACAUUUUAUAAUAAACAUUUUAUAAUAAUCGAAUUUGGCAAUACUUUCUAUAUGCACCACACAAAAUUUAAAGCAACAUAAAAAAAAAUUUCAAUUGGCGCCAUGCAUGAUGAUGCAUUCUUAUAGUGAAAGUCAGAAAGUGUAGGUAAAAGUCUAUUUACCGUAGGUAUAACCUAAAUAACUUAUUCCUACAGAAUCGUAGGUACAACAAAUUAUAUGUCACAAAAAGUGGCGUAUAAGUAUUUCAGAGCUAUAUCUCCGGUAAAUUGACUUUUACCUAAGCAUAUAACUGUCACUAUAAGCUUAGCCAUCAUUUGUACCUAAAUAAAUGCAUGUGCCAGACUUUUACAUAUGGUUUUUGACGGUCACUAUAAGCAUGCACCAUCAUGCAUGUCGCCUAUGUACUGUUUGAAUUUUUUUAUUUGAAAUAUUGUUACUUUGGCAUUUCUUUUUGAAAAUAUUGUUAUUUUGGAAUUUAAAAAAAAUAAAUUCUGCAAUCAUAUCAAAAUAACAAAAUAAUGUCAAUUCUAUAAUCACAACCACUAAAAUAAAUGCUACGACAAUAAAAAAUACAAAAAUUUAUUUAAGAUAAAAACAAUUUCUAAUCUUCCUCUCUUCCAUCUUCAUCUAUGCUUUCUCUAAUCUUCCUUUGUUCCAUCUUCAUAGUAAAUAGUAGCAUGACAAUGAUAAUAGGAUCGUGAGAAAUAGCCCGGUUGAAUGAGCAUAGACUUCUUAUAUUGAACUACGACGACUUCCUCUGCUAUGAUCCAGCUAUCGCAAUCGUUCUCAACAACUCUGACAAAAUUAAUACAUAAGAGUGUCACAUGUUAGGAUAUAGAUAUCAUAGAAUUAGAAUUAGUUAGGAAGUUAGUUAUUUGUUUAGUUAGGAUUAUUUUGUAUAAAUAGGGAGUUAGUUAUCUCAUUGAACUAUGAACAAUAAGAUAUAAUGUCAAAAUUGCGGCGAAUAACAAGUGGAGGCUUCAUUUAAAAAUACUAGAACACAACACAAUCCAGAGGGAAUUUCUUUCAUACGAAUGCUUCUUUCUUCAAUUCAAUCUGCUUCGUGGCUGUUUCGGAGAAGCUGUUAACGAAACUCAGUCAAAACCAUUUUCCAUAUUGAUAUAGGUUCCUUAACAAAGUGGAAAAUGAAUCAUAAAUAAUUAUAGCAAAUAUUCAAACACGCACACGUUUUUACAACCGCGUUAGCGCAUUAAAUCUCCUUUCUAUAUAUACACACUACUCUUUGUUCCUUUAACCUCACAAUUCAUUCUUUCAAUUUACAUUUUUCACUACAACUCGUUUUCUUCCUUUAAUCUCAUUAACAUCAAUUCUGUAUCCAUUUCCUCUUCGUAAAACAAUGGCAGAUAUUAAGCAACCACAAUUGAACGGAGCAUACUACGGUCCCGCCAUUCCACCACCAGCACAACCCCGUCCGCACCACCACCGAAGCAGAAGCUGUUGUU
RNAcentral lists this long non-coding RNA (3125 nucleotides) under Lathyrus oleraceus (garden pea). RNAcentral describes it as "Pisum sativum (pea) long non-coding RNA (PSAT_LNC008731)". Lineage: Eukaryota; Viridiplantae; Streptophyta; Magnoliopsida; Fabales; Fabaceae. The record is from RNAcentral.